RNAcentral lists this long non-coding RNA (29491 nucleotides) under Setaria viridis. Its description in RNAcentral is "long non-coding RNA (SVIR_LNC002403)". Lineage: Eukaryota; Viridiplantae; Streptophyta; Magnoliopsida; Poales; Poaceae. The record is from RNAcentral.
ACGGUACUAGAAUCAUGUUCUAUCCCUUCUACUACGCCUUGUAAUGUGUGUGUGUGUGUGUUUUGAUAACGUCCGUGUCAAAUAACAUUACCCUUUAUCCUUGUUUGUUCCACCUUCUAGGUGGCGUUUGUAUCUUAAAGUUAAGUUUACAGAAUAGUUCAGCAGAAAUAAAUGUAUAUUGCAUUUACGGCCUUCCAUUGGCCUCACUUUAUUUGGUCGUUAGAGAAUCUCUAUAUCCCAGGUAAAAUAGUAGGGUGAAUUGCCUUUCUGAGACUUACCAGAAAAUCGGAGUGAUAUAUUUCCUGCAGGAAGCUCAAAUCCUCAUCAUCAUUAAAUAUGGACCUGAAUACCGUCCCUUUUCUCCUGAACAAGGAUGUUCUUAGACAGUAUGCUUGAAUACUCGCCAUUUUUCUUCUAGUAUACACCCUAGGAUCCUUUUUUUUUAAAAAAAACUUUUGAAUCGGAUAGGCAAAUCUCUUUCAAAGGGAUCAAAAUGUGUUCUAGUCUGACUUGGAGACACUUUUCGCGUCUUUUCUUUUGCUCUUUCUUGUUGUGUUUCAGAUUUCUUGGUGGUGUUAAAUAGCUUGAUGGAUCUUGCUGUUUGAUCUCUAUGGCUUUACAAUAACUGCAGAUAAUGUGGAAUGAUGUUUUCUACAUUUUCUAUUUUUUCUGGUUGCUAUUUGAAGUAAGCAUCUUGUGGAUGUGGUUGAGAGUACCAGGAUGAACUUCUGGUAGUAUGUGCUUUAAACAAAAUGUAGUUUAUCUGGUGGACCAGGAACACCAUGGACUGAGAUCGAGACAUCCAGUCACUGAAAAUCUGGUUGAGAGGAAACUGCUGCAGGCUCAAGAGCUGACACAAGGAUCUUUGAAAUGAUCUUAAGAUAAUCCUUGGUAUAUGUUUCUAUUUGAUACAUCUAGAAAGAAACAGGCUAUUUCGCAAUUGCGUGAAAAAAAAAUGUUUGCCUUGUCUGCAUGCAAAAGAAGAGUAAGUGGACGGUGAUUGUGUUUUGUGUAGGAGUAUAUCUUAAGAAGGUAAGUGUUCCAAGUGCAAGUGUUGCUGUCGAUCAACCACACAGCCUCACAGAAAAAAUACCGGACAUGUUCUCUGUUGUUUUCGUUGAGUUGCAAGUAUAAUAAGUCUUGCGCAAUACUGUUCAUUCUAGACAGCUAAGGCAGGUAUCUAUCCAACUUUUCAGCAUAAAACUGAGUAACUUAAGAAAUCCAUUUCUGUCCUUGCAGGGUGGCUCCAGUUCUAGUCUACGAUUACCUGUCAGGUGGUUAACACUCGUGUCGAGUCCCACAAGGUCUUUGCUACGGAGUUUUAAGUCUAUUCUGCCGCAGUGCAGACAUUCCAAAAUUCCAAAAUUUAUCAAAUCCGGCAUUUUGUUGCGUCUAUUACUAGAUUAGUGCCACAUGCAUAGAGAGUGUCACAUUCAUUCAUGAGGGUUCCAAAUUCUCUUAGAUCACCACCUCGUGAUCUAUGUGUGUCAUUCUUUGUUCGUUCAUUCAGUUUAGGUUGACCAAAGAUCUGUACCACUAUUCAGGAAAUGGCAUUCGAGGAGAGACAAUCGGCUAUCGCUGUAAAGAUAUGUACCACAAUUUGUAUGAUUCUGUUUGCAACACCAGGAACAAAUGAAAAAUACAAUAUCUGUUUGUCGUUGUAAAGCGACAUGUACCCUUUUUUGGGCAGUCAGAAAAAAGAAAAAGAAAAGGAAAAAAAACAAGGAUAGCCAUUAGCCGCCACCACAAACUUGUCCAUCAGUGUUUCAAAGAAACCAAACUUGUCCAUCAAACCCCAACAAGCCUGAUCUCUUCACUGCCGUUCAGUUUUCCUCUGUGAGACUGACCUUUCUUUUACGCCGGGAUUACAGUACCCCCCUCGAAAUCUUUCCCAGUUAUCUUGUUCAGCAAAAAAGGGAGAGAGAGAAAAGCUCGGAACACCAAAAUAUCGCCUCUUCGGCCUUUCGAUGUCGAUGGCCGGACUUUCACCGCGCGUCGCUGGCGCCGCCGCCGCCACUGCCGCUGGAGUCCGCCCUGCUCAUGGAGAGCGUGAAGUAGAGCAGGAUGAGCGUCCCCACGCUGGACCUGAACGAGAUCAGACAAGGCCGCUGUCAGGAUUCAAGCACGGCGGAUACUACUGCCGAGUGCCGACCAUAGCAACUCAGCGUCAGGUUUUUGCACGCCAGCACGCCGCGCUCAGCACGGCAGCGUCGUGUUCGCCACGGCGGUUGCCCGUCAGUCGCCGUCUUCUUCUCCGCCGUCGCUGUAGCGAAGGCGACGCCCAGAGCUAGUUCUGCAACGGAGACUCGGCCAACAAAAACUACGCUGCAAGCCUGCAACUCUCUGCGAUUGCGAGCAUCGCCAUCGUCGUCGGACUCGUACCUUCCCAACAGAUGAACGUGUUCUAGGGGCUGCCGAAUACAAUGCUCUUGAUGUUGCUCCUGGCAUUGCCCCGUUAAAGAUCCAUCGCAUCGAACUGAUGGAUCGCCGCGUUUGCUGGGUUUCAGGGUUUGGUUCUGUACACUGUACUCUCUACUAACCCCUCUGAAGACGCAACGGGGAAGUUUGCUGGCGUUUACUGCAUGCCAACUCCGUAGCUUUGCUUGUUCAGGCACGCUCACUCAACACGCUUAACUGCUCCGCCUAAUCGUCUGGGUACUUCAUGUGAGAGCAUUAAUCCCCGCGACUUUGGCAGCCACUAGCUAGCCUACUACUACCGGAAACGAAUUACUGUGAGAAGUACUGCUACGACUUGCCAUGUUGAGGUAGCUUCUGUUUUUGUUUUUCUUUCAAAGUGAACGAACUGUCAGAGCUGACAGCUGAUGAAGGGGACUAGGGGAGGGAGAGCGAUGUUCUUACAGCGUGGCGAAGAGGAAGACGACCCUCCGGGGAUCCAGCCACGGCGCCGGCCGCCUGCCGAACCGCCGGGACUUGCUCCCGGGCGUGCUGGCCAGCGGCGUGUGCACGACCAGCCGCGCGCUGCUGGGCGCGUCGCCGAGGUCGCCGGCCGCUACGUGCACGAACAGCUGCGGCCGCUCUCCACCGCCACCUGCACAUACAUGGACGGAGGAGGUCGAGCCGGUCAGCAUCCAUGUUCUGUUCAAAGAUUGCAUCCCCAAGAAGGCAUCCCUCCAAUUCGUCGUUAGAAUCGAACGCAUCAGUGACUGUCACUUGCCAAUUUACUAGUAGCUUACAUGCGCUAGCUUAAACGACAAGGUGACCAAUCCAUCACUAAAAUCUCUAUCGAAUUAAACGGAAACCGACAAAACGAAGAGGCACGAGAAUUCUAACAGGAAUUGGCACCAAAAUGCGAUUUAUUUCCCCCGCUGAAAGGCAAAAUCAGAACGCGAAAUGGAUGCUAAUAACAGAAGAGAGCUAAUCGUCUGGGCUGACGUACCGGCGGUGCCGUUGGCGUCGCCGUCGGUCGGCUUCCUGUCGCCCUUCCGCGACAGCGACCUCACCACCUUCUGUCGUUGUUCGCGGCACGGGCACAGAGGAAGGAAAAAAGAGUCAGCUUUGGAAGCAACGAGACGAAACGGAAUUUGGCGUGUACCGCCGCGUCCCGGCCGGGGCCGGCCAGUUCGCGAGCACGCGUUUCCUCGGACUUACGGGUGUCCGCGGGGGCGCGGUGGGUGUCCGUGGGGGCGCGGUGGGCGUACCCGGCGGCGGGCCAGCGUCGCCGGCGAGGGAUGACGACAGCGCGCCGACGUCGAGGGCCACGAACCCGCCGCCGGUAGCAGCGGCGGAUGAGUUGACGCCGAAGCUCGAUUGUCCGACAUCACCCACCGCGAGGAUCUGCACGUAACAGAUAUAAGAAGCUGCUGUCAGUAACUCUUACCAUUUCCAUCUCCAAGAACAGAACGCAGGGGGAUUCUAUUCCACCAAGCGAUCGAUCUCACGUGCUGUUACCACCAAAACAGAACCAAACUUCCGGUAACUUUUUUGUUCCCCUCGGGCACAAGAAAAUUCAACCGAAAUUCAGUCGUUCCAAAUUCAAAUUUCUCAGAAGGAUAGGGAUAGCCGAUUUGCUCCCGCAGAACUCUGCAGGUGAUGGAGCAGGGAGAGAGACUCACAGGGUGGUUUGCGGCGGCGUCCCCCAUGCCUUCCGACCGCUCCGGCGAACUGGCGAUCGAUGCUUCGCUGCGUGUCCGUGCGGCGGCUGAUCCCUUCUCUUUUGUUGGCUGCGAUGCGAGCUCCGCUGGUUCGUUGGGGACGGGGAGAAUGAUGCCGGUGGAGUAGUACCAAAACUAGGAACCGGGGGAAAGGCCUGACGCUUUGCUCUUUUUCAGGGCGAAAAGAUUCUCCCUCACUCUCCGAGAGCAUGUGGGCGAGGAGAUGAUGGCGAGUACGGCUUUUUAUAUGCCGCUGGGUUUUGAUUACAAGUCCGGUCCCAUUUCGUAAAUUACCACAAUGGUGUUCUUCUGGUUACGCGCACGCGUACUCUGUGAAGGCAGUUCUUGAUAAUUACUUCAUCCAUUCCAAAUUGCAGGUCAUUUUAACUUUUCUAUGCAUAACGAUAUCUAUAAAGCUAAAAAAAAUUAAAACGACCUACAAUUUGAAAUCGAGGAAGUACUAAUUAGUGUACCGAAUUCAAGUUGAAACCGUAACAAAUUCAAGUUGAAACCGUAACAAAUUCAAGUUGAAACCGUAACAUUAUAAGAAAGUGAUUUGGUCUUAAAAUACACCUUGCUUUGUCAAUCUUGUCUAGUGUGGUUAAAAUUUAAACAUAUGAAUUGUGCACAACCAAAAAUAGAACUCUAUGACAUCGGAAGGCUUACUAAAUAUUUUUUAAAAUUAGUUUUUGCCAUCAUUUGCUUCCCUAGUUUCUUGGAGUACUGAGCAGGUCUAGCAGGUAUUUACUUUACUGCCUUACUAUGACUAAACUAGGUACCACUGGAUUGGCAAUGUUUGACCAAACGAUUCGUUGCCAAGUGGCUAAUUAAUGUCUAGCGACUAGCGUGUAAAAUUUUUGGAAUGGGUUGAUGGGCUAGUAAUUUUUUUGCAUCCCAACUGAGCUGACUCGGACCUAGAGUAUUCAAAAACACAAGAAAUCUUUAUGAGAUACUCCUACAAAACAGACUUGCUUCCUGCGAAAUACCUACAAAAUUCUCGCUUUCCCAAUAACUACUGAUUCAAAUAUUUGUGAGCGUGCUCUUGGCGAAUUCCAAAGUUCCUCGAGGAGUGGUCCAUAAAAAGAAGCGAGGAAAACUCGAAUUAUUUAUUCCCUCGAGGUCGUUUUCGUGAGAAAAGAUUUUGGCAGGCGGAUAUCCUCAAGCGUUCGAUGGCUCCCUGCCGCCACUCGCACUCGAGCUCGCCAGGCAAGCGUGCGAGUAUUUCCCCCAACUCCACCCAUUUCCCUCUUUUCCCUCACUUUUUCCCCCGGAACAAAAAGCCAGUGGACGUUUAAUUUUAAAAAUGAAAGCAUGCGGUGCUACUACCUUUUAUGUUUUUUUUCAGGAAACUGUGUGAUUAUAUCUGACGUGGAAAUUAAUUAAUGGCGCGCUUGGUUCCCGCGCGAGGGGUUCGCCUCGUUUUGCCUCGCCUCGUCGGUGCGAUCAACGAGAAGCUUGACAGGGCAGGCAAGCCGACUUGGCUCUCCCACGGGAGCAAGCCAAAUCUUGCCUGCACAAGCUCCAAAGCGCCCAGGCAAAAGAACCAAGCGCCGUAGCUUGCUCAGUAGCCUCGCCAGGCAAGGCAAUGCAGGAGCAAGCAAAGUAACUAAGCGAGCCCUACUUGCCAGGAGGCAUACAAAUGGCGCCAAAUCGUUACGUGGGCUUUGUUAUCUUGAUUUGUUUUUUGGAAGAGGGUUAUCUUCGUUUAUUCUAUUGAGGCAGCCAACUGGCCGGCACGCGGAGCAGCAGCCAGGUUUACAUUCUCCAUCGGACAUCAUGCGUGAUCGAGUGCCGAUGAUAUGAUCGGCCGCCCGGUGACAUGGAAUCCUCCGCGGACCUGUCGACCAAUCGAGUGGUGUUUAUUUUAGUCCAAAAGGAAUUUCAUCAGUUUGAAGCUGACAGUGAGCAAAAUUAAACGGUGUCAUCUGAAGAUGAUCCAGGCAGCAUAGCUCUCACCAGGACACUCCCUACUUUAUUCCUAAUAACCAAGCGUUAGUUAUCUCACGGUAUUUGCGUGAUGACCAUCGUACCCAUAUGGUAUACGGAACAUUAUGGGUUAGUUUUCUCUCUCUCUCUCUUUUUGUCUAUCGAUCAUAGAGAUUAACUAAAACGUUUUUUUAGCAAUAUUAAUUAAAAUUUGACAAUCUAUAUAGGUGAAUUCAUCAUACGGUAAAAUCGUAUCUAUAUAUAUUCGUUGCCAUUUAUACAAACGUACACAUCUGAGUAGUGGACGUCGAGCUUGUACUAUGGCUUCCAGUGAGCGGCGGUGAUCACGGCCGGCCGGGGAGUGCGGCACACAGUAAGCUGAAGCGGUCAGCAAAGCUUGUCAGCUGAAAUGGACGCGCGGCCAUGCGGGGGUGCUUGCUGGUGGACGUGCGCGACAACUGUGCGCGCGCGACCGAACAGGCACGUAGACUGAGACGCAACAGCUGUAGUGAUCGAUCGAUCGAUCGAUCGACGACCGAUUAUACAUCCAAUCCAAGCUGUGAUAUGAUAUGAUAACGCAUGGAAUCGCGAUUCGGAUCCGUGAUGCGCGCGCACGCAUAUGAUUUUAGUAUCCGGGGACCGGAAUGAUCAGCUGCGAUGCUACUCCAUCAUCUCCAUCCCUGGAGCGGAUCGUUCGUGCAGCUAGGGACGCGCACAUGCAAGCAUGCGCUCGAUGACCUCAUCUGCUUGGCGACGACCAAGGGCUCGCGUUGACUUCACUCUCUCGCCGCGUCCCUUACUCCCAUCGCUCUCGCUCCCUCUGUGAUCCCAUCCACCUCGAUCGAUCGAUUGCUUUUUCCGCCGUGGAUUGCGUAGUGCGUGGUUUCGUAGAUAUUUUCUCGAACGAACAGGGGAGCGAUGCGCAGGAGUUAAAAAAGGAGGAGGUGGUCCCCAAGCUCGUGCAGGAAAGGAUUAGAGGUGAAAUUAGAAAGUGGGUAAUGUAAGAUGAAGAUUAGAGAGAGUUCAUUUACGAUUUUUUUUUCCAUUGCCGUGACACGCAGUGGCCUUUGACAAAUUUAUGCUGACAAUUGGAAUGCGUGGGCCAGUGACACGCAGUGGUCUGUGGUAAAUACCAGCUGAGCGUCCUCUGUUCUACAGUACUGUACCAAUCAGCAAUCAGCAUAUGAUAAAAGUCAGCAGAAAUAUCUAAGGAAGAUUCCGGAUAUAUAGGGCUUUUAUUUAAGGCAACAUCGUGCUUAUGACAAUUACGUCACUGGGUUAAGCCAAAGCGCAAGCACUCCACCUGCUUUAUUUCUCAUGUGUAUGGCUGUCUCUUUCGCCGUCCCUCCUAGCUCUCAUGUUUGCAACUCUCCCGGCCGGAGCCCCUCCUUCUGCCCCAAAAGAAAGCCAUGCUAAGUUGGACUAGCAUCAUUUAACUUGCAUCUCGAAUGAAUCCCCCGGUCGUAUGUUCAUCUUAAAGCUGACUCAUCAGUGUCAUCACCAGGACUGUCCCGCAAAAUACAUGAGCCCUGUACCAAAUUCUAAUGUAGGCCCUUGACUUAACAACCAAAAUAAUAAUGAUAAUUUAUAUUAUGAUUCAUUUUUUAUACGAAACAUAGUACAAACAUACAGGUACAUGCAAGUAUGCACACAUAGAAGAGACAUCGUACCUCUACCAAUGUCUGGGAUUGACAAAAUCACAAGAAUCACCUCUCCGGCGAUGGACACAUCGCUUAUCAUUUAAGAAUAAUAUAUUAGCCAAAAAUAUGAGCACUGGGUUGAGCGGGAGACUUGAACCACUAAUCCCGCCAAUGGACAUGUUUAAUAAAGUUAGUAUGAUUUUUUGAAAAACCACUUUAGUUACUCCCUCCGUCCCAUAAAAAGUGCAAUCCUAACUUUUGAAAAAAAUUCCUAUAAAAGAGUGCAAUCCUAGAACAUUGAUCUAACUACCUGCCUAAUUAAGUAGUCAGAUCUGAUUUGCAUGACAAAACUUACUGCAUGUGACCAACAAAUAAGGGUAUUAGAGUCUUUUCACCCCCACCACUAAUUUGUCCUAGAAAAACUAAAAUUGCACUCUUCAAGGGACGGAGGGAGUAAUUAUAUAUGUUGUUGAACACAUUUCUAAGAAUAAGUUAUAACACUAUUGUGAUAUUGUCCAGUGGCGGACCUACAACCUGGGCUGCCCAGGCUGCAGCCCGGGUCCAAGGCUAAAAUCCUAAUAGUGGUUUAGAAAAAAAAUAGUCAAAUAUAAAGGAGCAACGUAUAUAAGCUUCUACUAAGCUAGGAUCAGCCCCGGCCCGGUCCUUGCCAAAUCCUGGGUCCGUUCCUGAUAUUGUCUGAUCCAACUUCCAAAAUGACAUGACUUCAAAUUCUUAUGCACAAUUAGAGAAAGGAAGAAAACUAACCGGGCUGGAAAAUCAAGAAGAAGAAUGUUGUUUACUGGCAUAUGGCGGUUGCAGUAGGCUAGUAGAACUGGCCUAAUUAGUGAUUACUUGUGGUUUGUAUUGUUCUAGACCAACAAGAAGAAGCUGCAAUGAUUUAGGAUUGCAAACCGAUCACAAUUAAUCAAUAUAUGACGUACAGCUAUUAGUAUUUUCAGGGAAAAAUAGGAUACGAUUUGCAUGUUGCAAGCUAGAAAAAAAUUAAAAGAGCUAGAAAAUUGGAAGGAAAGUUUCGUGCUGUCAUGAGGCUUCUCAAGAUGUUCCGUGAGGAAAUUUGGAGAGCACCAUGCCGAGUUUUGCUAGUACCACUAAUACUGAAUAUGUAGGAUAAUUAUGUGGGCCCUACAUCUUUAGGGGCCUGUAUAGGUGCACAGGCACGUGCCCAGGGACGGGCCUAGUCGUCACCGCUUACUGCUUGCAUUAUUGCUGGCUACGAAUCGAUGCGUAUAAUCCUGUUCUUUGUUGUGUAGUACAUAAUUAACGAACUGUUAUCACCAUUCUCAAGGAUGGAUGAUACGAUUGACUACUUGAAAAGGCCGGUAUAUCACUUGCAAGCCAAGGGAUCGAUCAAUGGAAGCAGCUGGACGCACAUGUGUGUCGCAUUCCCUAACAUUCCCGAGCUCCUAUAUACCCAGACUUGUGUCACUGCAAGCCAAAAAUUCGUGUCGUGAUAGCAAAGAAGCAUCAACACUGAAAGUCCCUUGCAUUGGGUCAUUAGCACAGUGGGGACACAACACAAGUCUUGUGUUACAUACACCUUGGACCCACCACCCAGUAGUAGUGACAGUGCAUGUAUAUGCUUUCCAUAUGGCACAUGGCGUCUUGCGAACGCUGGAUUGAACGUACGUGGUGGUGGUGCUGUCCAAGUAGGCAUUGCGGCCGGUAUGUUACAACGGGCCAAAGUGCAGUGCGCGCUCCACAAUGGAACGGACACAUGCACGGCCGCCGGCCGGCGACCGGCCAGAAAACAAAAGGUUCAGAGAAUCUGAGACGCAUAUUGCAGGCCUACCCGAUAAGCCACUGCCAAUAACCCAUGCGCUCUUUUCGUACGUGCGGCGCGUCGUGCGGCGCCACACAUGCAUGCAUAUAAUAACCGACUGGUGCUGCACAGAGGAAAAAGAGAACGGAGGCGGAUGCACACUUGGCGACCCAUCCAGUUGCAGGCCUUCCGGCAUGUCCCUGUCUUGGACCGAUUUCUUUGUCAUGGGCAAAAAGGGCCUUCAACUAUAUCUGCGAUCGCCGCCGGCCGGUGCUCGAUCGAUUGAUCAGCUGGGAGUGAUGAUAGCAGCGUACACCACAGUGGAGCUUCGAUCAGAGCGCUGGGAGCCACCACCGGACCCUUAUUUUUGAUUUCUUUUUGCUGAUCAUGCGAGCUGCUGGCUGUUUUGUCCUCCGGCCGUCCAUGGCUGAUGGCUCAGCUAAGAUGGUCAGCUGCGGAGGUGCAUGAGCGUAUCAACAGCGACACCCACUAGCGAGGAGAUAAGAGAGUGUGCCCCCCAUGCUCCAACGACUCUAUGUUUCUUUUGUAUUUUUUUAUCAGGGGUGUUACACUUGUCAGAUAAUAGUACUCCCUCUGUUCCAAUUUAUAGGUUGUUUUAUCUUUUCUAGGUGUAUAGAUGUUAAAAAAAAUUAAAAUAAUCUACAAUUUGAAACGGGAACGGAGGGAGAUAGGUUUAGUCUCAUAGUACUACCUAAGCAUUCAGCUAGCUGGCUGACACUUUUUUUUAAGUGGUGGGAAAUGAAAAAUAGCAAUGCCUGGAGUGCGUAAAGAUCUCAUUAGGCCCGGCCCAACUCGGGCUUGCCAUGGCAUUUUUUUGAGCGGUCUCAAGUUCUCAACAAAAUUCAACGAUUUGACCCAAUUGGGUUUCCCCCGCCGGCUCGGGCGGGGCUCGGGCUGGCCUAGCAGCAGCCCACCAAUAUCCAAAAUAGCCAUAUCGGCCGUCAAGUUGCUGCUCGGACUACACUACGUUUUCUUUGCUGAGAGGUGAAACAUUGUAUCCAUGAUGACGAGAGCAUACCAAAUUGAUGGCUGUAUGUUCCUGAUUUAUUGAGUUUUUUUUAGAUUUACCUUUUCUAGCACAUCUCAUACAGAUUAACAUGGAGACUUUGAAAAUAGCCUCCAUUUAUCAAUAGUAAAAUUUACGAGACGUUUUAUUCCUUCAAAAAAAAAAAUUACGAGACGUUUGUUGGUGUAGAGAUCGGUCAAAGACUGAUGUAUACGCAUAUCACAGCCCGGGCGUGCUACUAGAGAUGAAAAAGUUACAAAAACAACAUUAGUAAUUUGCUAAGCUAAAAUAAAUAAAUAAAUAAAUAUGCGCAGGGGCAUGGAAACACAUAACAUCUUGUGUCGUCUCUACUCAUCCACGCCGUCUUCCUGUAUCGUCUCGAGCUUGGGCGGCCGGUGCCUCUCCGCCGCCGCCUGCCGGAGCUCAGCGACGACGUCGACGCGCACGGUGCCCAUGCUCAUGAUCCCCGCCACGACGUCCUCGUCAGAUGCCCCUCCGCGACCGGCGGUCUCCAGCAGCCGCCGCAGCUGGCCCUUGGUCAUCCUGAUCUUCACCCGCAUGCCGCCGCAGCCGCCGUUCUCUGUCGACACCACUCCUCGUGCCCCGCCGGAACGCUCCGCCGGCAGGACCCAGUCCUCGUCGCCGUCCCACGCCGUCACCCUCGCACGCUCCAGGCAGCUGCAGUUUCCCAUGGAUCUCUCGAAGCUAGCUUGUACAGCUUGGCGGCGCUACACAGCUGCAGCAGCUGCACUGGUGUGUGCUGGGAAUCGGGGAAAGGCAAGAGGACGAGAAGGAAAGAGAUGAGCUACGAGAGCAAGGUGAUGGAGAAGACUAAGAGAGCGAGGUAGUGAGCGAUUGAGCUUGAUGGUUUGGGGUUUUGAACGAAUGGGUUUUGGUGUAGUGGAGAGACAGGGUAUAUAUGGAGGUUGAGGUGCAUAUACGGGUGCUGUCUGAUGGUGAGACGACUGAAUAAUUCUCGUAGAGAAAGGCUUGUCCAGAGAGCAAGUUCCAGGAAGGAGACUUGUUGAGCUAUGCAUCAAGGCACACCGUACAGGACAUAAUCCUGGAGGGAUUUGCCUCCCUUUUUUCUAAUGAGAAGAGAAUGAGAGAGGUGCAUGGUUUUGCUUCCGUUCCGUACCUCGUCGAGGCCUGACUGAGCUUGACGGAACAUAGGUUGCGGCCGUGUAGGGAUGCAUGCGUUUGAUUUAAAUAAGUGGCGUUUGUCUGCAGUUUGAAUACGCGUAGGCGGAUUAGAUUAAGUUUCUCCGAUGAUGCUGAUGCUGAUCAUUACGGCAGGUAUGAGUAGAAUAGUGCAUCAUGUGUGUCAGCACCUCUUUAAAACUUUGUACUGAUUCGGAGCAGUGUUCUUUAUUUAUCAGAAUUCAGAAAGAGAACUACUACUGCAAUGAAAUUACAAACUUUGUACUCAUCUUGAAAAUUUGGCAGCUGGCCAUAUAUGCCCGGCUAUGAUCGAUAUAUAUGUUAAUAUUCCUUUUCCGUUUUUUUUCUUUUUUCUUCUUUAAAAGGAGAAAGCGGUGGCAAAAUCAAAAAGACCAGGAUAACGUGCGACGGGUUGCGCGAAAACUUAAUGCGCGACCCCUCAAACCAAUCACAUGUGAGUGCACCCAAGUAAUCAUGUGGUGGCACCUGUCUGAAUUCAGUGGAAGCCCCCCACGUGUAGCUCCUCAAUCGCAAGAUGUCGCUAUCUGUUAACGUUGCCGAUGAUGCCGGUAUUAAUAAAUAGACACAUUUUCUUUAAAUGAGCAACGAUCAUCCAUUUUCAAAUCCGUUUGUACUAUCAUGUUCCUUGUAACACGAUCUACAAAACUAGAUCUAUAUUUGAUAUGUUUUGAAGUUGUGUUACGAGCAACUUAUAUUGAUAGCAGAGUGGUAACUUAUGUACAAAAUGUGUGAUAGUAUACACUAUGAAACAAUUUUUAUAGAUAUGGUGGAAUAACUUAUAUACAUGUAAAGUAUCAAACUUAUACAGAGAUUAUGUACCAACCUUUAAUCUUAUAUUGUAUGUCUACUUGUCUUGUAGGAAAUUUAUAUAAAGACAAAUGUACCAACAUAUGUAAAGGGUUGUGUAAGAACUUGUGUGCAGACAGUAUAAUGAUUUAUGUAGUACAUGCCUGGUAGUAACUUAUCUAAAGAUAAUAAUGUGGCGACUUUAUUUAGAUAUUGUAGGGUAAGCAAUAUGACAAUAAAAUUAGUGUUGCAGCAAUUUAUGUACAUAAUUUGUUGAGAGAUUUACACAUAAGUUGUUACAUGCUUAAUACACAAGUAGCUACCAUAUGUUCAAUAUAAGUUGCUAGUACAUAAAUAAAUAUUCAAAAAUAUAUGCAUCAUGGAUUUUGUUUUGUAGAUCUCAUCUUAAGAAAUGCAGUGAUGCAAACAGAAUUGAAAAUGAACAUUCCAAAAGAAAGUUAUCACUUUUUUAUGGUGAAACAAUGGAAAAGAAAAGCAAGGACCACGGCAGCCCAGCUCCCUCACGUGGGCCGAAGCAGGCUGCAUUGGUCGUGGACUCGUAUAUUUGCGCGACCAGUCGUUAGAUAAACUUUUCCAAAUCAAACGAGGCAACUUUUCGAAAGGAGAGGGUCUCAACGUUAGCCUACAGUAUAUUUUUUAGAUAAAGGAAACCGGUCUCCACACUUACAAGUGAGUGAGUGCAACUACUAGCCCACAAUAUAUAUGCGUCGCAAUGCCGUGUGAUUGAAGUGUACUCUUGAAAUGCAUAAAUUAGGGUUUAUACUUAAGUAAAGAAAGGUGCUGCAAAUGUGAGGAAUGACAUAGCACUCGAUUGAUACCACAAGUAAGUAUGUAAGCUAAGCUUUGGACUUUGAGCUUGAUUCAUCCCGAUCCCACUUGCACGUACUAUAGGCAAAGUUCAUCUCCCCCAACACACACGUACUCCGUCAUGUCGCGUGCCCGCCACGCGCCUUGGUUUACACUGAGUAUUAUUAUACUCCGUCUUGUAGUUAAUUAUUAUGUUCAUCUGAUCCGUCAACCAAGUAGUAUAAUUUCUGAACUUAUUUGAAUCUGAGGAGAUCCAUCACCAUCCAUGUGACAAAAAGCAUCUAGCUCUGAGUUCUUCGAUCCGAGACUCGUAGUAACAUUAAAGUAUAGUUUAAGUAGCUAGUUACACGGGAUCAUCACUAAGAGAUGAGAGCCCCACGCUCCCCUCCGCCAGCCCCCUUCCUCCCUCACCCGCCGCCGCCGCCGUCACCGGCCCGCCGCCCCCUCCCCACCCGAAGACCCCUAGCGAACCUGCUACCAAACCCGACCCCUAACCCGCCGCUCCCACAAACCCCGCUCACAAGGAGAACCUGGGAGCAGUUCAUCAACGCCUCCCCGCCGCCGCCUCCACGGAUCCACUACUCGCCGCCGCCCGAGGCCGAUUGGGUGCCGGAAUCGCCGAAUCCGCCGGUCCCUUCACCGGAUCUGCGGAUCCCGCUGCACGAUCUGCGCCCUGGAAGCUACAACCACAAGUACGCCCACACGGACAAGACGCGGUCCUAUGCCGCAGUCGUCAGAGAGGGGCGCUUCACACCCCUAACGACCCAGCGGCGCCACGGCGAUGCGCGUCCUCCAGCCCAUGGAAGCCGGAAUAACUCCGACGACAGGACGGCUACGCGGCGCAUUGAAGACCCGACGUCAGCGACACUACGCAUCAAGCCCCGGUACGGCGAAGUAAAGAAGAUACCGCAGCACAUUUUGGUGCACCAUGCCUGGCAGCCAGUGACGAGCCGCAGGACGCGGCGGCAGGCGCGGCCCGAGGCGCGGCGACGCGAUGGCGGAGGUGACCGGAGAGCCAGAAGCAAUUUAAUACGAACACCAACCAAGGCGCUGCUCGCCUUCAAACGGGAGACCGCAGGUAGGUGCUUCCGAUGCCUCGCCACUGACCACUCCGCCUCUGCGUGCCGCGACCCCGUGCGUUGUUUCCGGUGCCGGCGAUUCGGCCACCGGGAACGCGACUGCCGGGCGGCGCGACGCGAGAAGCACCACCCCGCCACGCAAACAGCCGCCGCUCCACUGCACAGAUCGAGAGCUCAAGCCCGCGCCAGCCACCCAUCGGCCAGACAUCCCCAAUCCUCCACACGCUGCCACCACCCUACAGCACCGCGCCGCGCAGCCACCACUGAAAAACAACCUCCACCCGCGCCAAGACCCACCAGAUCCACAAUGGCCAUCGGAGAUCCGCACACGCGGCCAGAUGUUGAAACCGUUUUCGUCUCCAGCUCCUUCCACCUUGAACACGAUGCGAGAGAUUGGGAAGCCUGUGCACUCGUGCCAUGGGCACUGCACCUGCCGUCCGACGCUGGAGCCAGAGACAUCGCCAACCUCCUCAUCCGGGAGCUCCGCCUGCGGCCGGGCGACGUCACCGUCACGCUUCAUCAACCUGAGCCAUACCUCAUCAAGUUCGAGCAAGCGGAACACGCGGCGGAGGCACGUCGUCGAGGGCGAUUCACCGGAGCCGGCAUCGACAUCUGCCUGCGCACAUGGAGGAGCCUCACGCACGCCCUCGGCUUUCGCAUCUUCUAUAGGGUGCGGCUCUGCCUCGACGGCAUUCCGCCGCACGCCUGGACGCCGGACAUCGUCGAGCGGGUCAUCGGACACAAAUGCGCCCUGCAACACAUCGUCACUGACCUUCUCCAGCCGGCGGACUCCAGGCACGUUGAGCUAUGGGCCUGGACGGUGGAUCCGAGCGAGAUUCCAAAAAAGGUAUGGCUUGCUUUCACUCACAAUCCAGCGACGCAAUCCUCUGCUUUUGCAGUCUCGGCCGAACCACUGCAGUCGCCAUGGCAGCAGGGGGCCCGAUACGAGGUCUUCAUCCACAUGCCAGUGAUCGAGGACUACUCGGCGGCGGCAAAUGACCUCCAGCAGGCCAUCGACAACCCGCAGAGCGUCAUCCCCAUUCGCCGCCGCUACGACUGGCGCUACGGCCUCGCCGACGGCGCGCCAUCCGACGCCAGAUCGCGCUUCCUGGCACGGCUGCCCCGUCCACCGCGUAAACUGCGCGCUGAUCCGCACUUGGCUGGACCCAGUAGGGGCCGGCCGGCGCCGAGGGGCCCCCCCAGGACGGAGCACGGCGGCAGGGCCGCGGACGGUGCUGGAGCCGCCGGGAACAGGCGCGGCGAGAGCGCCCACCAGGAAGCAGUCAACGCGGAGGACCGUGCAAGGCGUCGCCCGGCGAGGCAGCGCUGCGACGACCGGCCAUUCGUCUGGCCUUCCCGCCGUGACGACGCCGACGACGAUGGCGGCGACUACGACCACCCAGGACAAGGACGCCCGCUCGACGGCGACUACUGGAGCUGCGGCGGGAUGGCGCGCCGCGACCGCACCCGUUCACCCCCAAGACGCAACUAUGCGCCUGCGCCUGGACGGCGCCAUGAGGCCGGCGUCCUGGAACUGCGCCACCUGCCACCGGCACAGCUACAGGCCCUCUUCACGGCGCAAGCUACAAUGCUCAAGACCUACGCGCAACAGCAGGUAACUGAAGCUCCCCUCACAACUGACACCCCAGCUCUGGAUGCUAGGAAACACUUCUGGCACAUUGGCGCCGACGAGUACAUCCGCAAAGCCUGUUCACUCGCCGAUCGACUUGGGAUCGAGGACGCGACGGUAGGGGAAAAAGCCUGGUCCGAGCCGGUGCCGCUGACGUGCGUCUUCACCAACCUGCGGGUGGCGCUAUCAUCGACCCCGGCGGCGGCGACGGCGACACCGACGAUCCAGGAAGUCCACCAGGCGCUGGACCAUCUGUGCAUCGAAGAAACUGACAUGGUGGCACAUGGGCCGGCGACAGCCCAGAAGGCCCGCAGCUCCGCCUUAGUCCAACCGGCUGGGCCUACUCCACAGCAGGCCGGCCCAGCAAAUGACCCAGAGGGGAGGCAGGCUGAAGCACCGGGAGUUGGGCCGCAGCGGGCCUACAAUACAUAUGCCACUGGGCUGGCCCGCGACCGAUCACCUCCACCCAGCAUCGCCACCGAGGCCCGUCAACCACCACAAUCACUUAGCCCAACCCACUGCCACACACCAUAUGCAAACUCAGAUAGGCCCACAACUCCCCAAUCAUGCACAGCGCAACAAAUGCCCCAGCUAACGCCACAAUCGCACCCAGUAGCGCCUGAUCCAAAAAUAAGCGACCUCUUCAUAGCGCCGUCACAACCUCUGCUACAGCCCCCGCCGCCACGACAACGCCGAAGUCGCACCUUUGACAUGAGUAAGGUGCGGCGGAGCGCGCGCCUAGCAAAAAAGCCAGCCAUACCAGCAGUGGAGCGGGCACAAAGGAACCUUUAUCGGAAGUUAGGCAUAGGAAAUGAUGAACUAAUGCCUAUAGAGCAGGUCCUGCAGGAAUUCCUCCACAUGUUCCAGGGACCACUACCGGACUUCAUUAUAGCUGCUAUGACUACACUCUUCGCCUGGACGACGGAACCGCUGACCAGGUAAACGAAGCACUGCUACAUAUGGCCGGUGAUGGGGUGGGAGAACUCCAGCAGAUGGACCAGGAAGCGGCAUGAUCUUCAAGACCUUGCACCUGUAUCACGUGCCUCAGUACUACUACAUGUAUUGCUACCUUUAUGUCGUAACUACCUCCAAGCCUCGCCCUGCUGGCUGCGACCUUCGGGGAGGCUCCUGCUUUAGCCCUGCUGGCUGCGACCUUCGGGCAAAACCUAUGCGCUCUGCACUAUGCGUUGGCCACUGCCAAACCAAACUUCGGACGAUAACUAAUGCACCGUCAGCACCCGGUCAACGACAAGAUCCGCACGACGAAAACGCCUCGAACCGCAUAACGCACUCAUACAACCAAUGCGACGCGCGGCAACAAACGACACGCUACAACCACAUGGCCAGCAAGGUCAGCAAGGUCACGGUCACGGUCAGCACGAUCAGCACAGUCACCGCACCGCCCCCAAAUCGCAAUAUGCAAGCGGUAACUCAUGACAAUGCCAAUCCGUCAGCAAGCGACCCAACCACAACAUAGAUGAAUGACAAUUUCGAAAUACUGAGCUGGAACGUAAGAGGCCUAAACGCACCCGUCAGAUGCCUAACAAUACGCGAACUACUACUGGCAACGACGUGCCACAUUGCAUGCCUACAAGAAACGAAACUACAGAAUAUUGACGCCAUCCUAGCGAAUCUCCUAGGAGGACCGCGCCUAAAUAACUACACGUAUAAGCCGGCUAUAGGCACAAAGGGUGGCAUUCUCCUUCUCUGGGACGACAGGGUUUUCGACAUGCAAAACGUCCAAAUAGGACGCUACUCCAUUUCAGCAAAAGCGACGGUUAAACACAAUAAUCUACAUUUCCAGCUUACAACAGUAUAUGGCCCUUCAAGGCAAUCAGAGAAGGCCACUUUUCUACGCCAGCUACGUUCCAUGCGACCUGACGACGACACCAAAUGGCUCGUCCUGGGCGAUUUCAACCUAAUCUAUAGCGCAAGAGACAAGAAUAAUACUAACCUAAACAGAAGACUAAUGAGAAGCUUCAGAGCAACGCUAAAUCACUGCGGUCUCAAAGAAAUACACCUACAGAACAGAAGAUUCACCUGGAGUAAUGCAAGAAAACAACCGACGCUAUCGCGUAUUGACCGAGUCUUCUGCAAUGAACCCUGGGACCUGCAAUUCGACGAUCAUGUCCUACACGCUCUCUCCUCCUCACACUCGGAUCAUUGUCCUCUACUACUGGCACAACAAUCCGGCCCUCGCAAGCUGACUCCUUUCAAAUUCGAAAACUUCUGGCCGAAAUUACCAGGUUUUCACGAAGUAGUAGCCCAGGAAUGGUCAAAGACGACGAGACACACUGAACCUUUUCACAGGUUGAACCACAAGCUACGCACAACAGCCUGGGCACUGCGAUCAUGGAGCUGAAAGCAUGUCUCUGAUGCCCGCCUAAAACUCCACAUGGCCCAAGAAGUCAUCAUGCACCUGGAUGUAGCAGAAGAAACAAGAAUGCUCAGCGAACCUGAGCACGACCUACGGAGCAAGCUCAAACAUAGGCUCCUAGGAUGGGCGGCAAUAGAAAAGGCUAGAAAGAAGCAAUGCUCCAGAAUAACCUACCUACGCGAAGGAGAUGCCAACACGCGCUUCUUCCAUCUAAAGGCAAAUGGAAGAAAGAGGAAAAACUUCAUCCAAAGACUAAAAACAGGAAACGGAUGGGCCGUAACCCACUUGGAUAAACAACAGAUAGUUCAAAACCAUUUUGACAACGUAAUGUCUGCACCAGCCGCCCGUGACAAAACGCUAAAUUGGGAACAACUGCAGCUCCCACAGGUGGAUUUAUCAGGAAUUGAUAGCCCUUUCUCGGAUAGCGAAAUACUACAUGCCAUAACUGAUCUGCCUAAAAAUAAAGCACCAGGGCCGGACGGUUACACCGGGCUAUUCUUCAAAUCAUGCUGGAACAUAGUCAAAGCAGAUGUAACAAUAGCAAUACAUGCAUUCUACAACGCCAGAUGCAAUGACUUCAACCUAGUAAAUUCGGCCAAUAUCGUCCUAAUACCCAAAAAGGAAGGAGCUGAAAGCAUUCAGGACUUUCGACCGAUAAGUCUCAUACACGCUAUUGCAAAAAUCAUUAGCAAAAUUCUAGCAACAAGACUACAGCCACAUCUAGAGAAAUUGAUAUCACCAAGCCAAAGCGCCUUCAUCAAAGGAAGAAGCAUUCACGACAACUUCCUCUUCGUACGGAAUAUGGCCAGAAGAUUUCACAGAUACGGAACGCCGACAUUACUAAUGAAACUGGACAUUUCCAAGGCUUUUGAUUCGGUCCGAUGGGAUUAUCUACUUGAACUGAUGCGAUACAGAGGCUUCCCCACACGAUGGCAAGACUGGAUAACUGCCUUCCUAGUCACAUCAACCUCAACAGUCCUACUAAAUGGCACACCAUCUGAUCCGAUAAUACACGGGCGAGGACUACGACAAGGAGACCCUCUAUCCCCCCUACUUUUUAUCCUCGCGAUAGAUCCGCUGUACAAGCUAAUACAUAAAGCGACGGAAAUGGGACUACUAACAAAGAUAAGGGGGCGUACGCCACGUACAAGCAUCUCCAUGUAUGCAGACGAUGCGGUCAUUUUCAUCAAACCAACACAACUAGACGUUACGAAUAUAACAAAGCUUCUGGACUUCUUCGGGGAGGCCACUGGGCUCAAAACAAACCUGCAAAAAACAACUGUGACCCCCAUCAGAUGUGACAACAUAGAUCUGGAAGAAAUCCUCGCACAAUGGCAAAUUAUUCGUAAAAGUUUCCCAAUACGAUAUCUUGGUCUCCCGCUCACGAUAAGACGACUAAGGAAACCGGACUUCCAGCCUAUAGUGGACAAAGCAGCGCAGAAGCUCUCCGGAUGGCAUAGUCGCAACCUAACCCAUGCAGGAUGGGUAUGCCUAACAAAAGCAGUCCUUUCAGCGCAGCCACUAUAUCUGCUCACCGUCCUCAAAGCACCAAAGGAAGUUCUAGACGAACUAGACAAAAUAAGAAAACGAUUCAUCUGGGCGGGAGACAAAAUGCUCACAGGCGGCAAAUGCAAGGUUAACUGGACCAAAACCUGCUUACCCAAAGAGAACGGAGGUCUAGGAGUGCUAAACCUACACAAAUUCGCUAGAGCUUUGAGGCUGCAUUGGAUAUGGCAUGAAUGGCAGUCCCCACAGAAAACAUGGAUUGGAACGGAGAUACCAUGCGAUGAAUCCGAUCAACGACUCUUCGCGGCCUGCACAACGAUCGCAGUGGGUAAUGGACGCAAAACGAGCUUCUGGCACUCCGCCUGGGGACAAGGAACUCGACCAAAGGACAUUGCACCAAACCUAUAUAUGCUUUCCAGGAGAAAGCAUAUAAAACUAGCUGAAGCUCUGCACAACAACAAAUGGGUGACGGACAUAAACCUUCAGACAGGACUGACAAUUUCACACCUCCAAGAAUUUGUAACAUUAUGGCACCUAGCAGCCCUAAUAAGGCCGCAAAUGCAAAUGCAACAGGAAGAUGCAAUCCAAUGGAAAUUCACAUCCAACGGUAGAUACUCAGCUGCAUCGGCAUACAAAGCACAGUUCCUAGGCUCUACAUUGGCACCACACCACAAAACAAUAUGGCACUGUUGGGCGCCGCCGAAGUGCAAGUUCUUCGCAUGGCUCAUUCUCCAAAACCGUGUCUGGACAGCUGAUCGACUAGAGAGACGAGGAUGGCAACACCCCCCUGUAUGCCCUUUAUGUCGUACGCAACAAGAAACAGCGCAUCAUCUACUGGCACAAUGCAGAUACACCCAACGAAUCUGGAGACUAGUGGCCCUCUGGGCAUCACAACCAAGCAUACACCCCUCGGAAUGGCCAUCAACCGAAACCACCCUACAAUGGUGGAUGAAUAUGACUACACGGACCGAAGCGCCUAGAAAAGGCACAUGUUCUAUGACGCUGCUGCUCAUAUGGGAGCUAUGGAAGGAGCGAAACAGACGAAUCUUCAAUCAGCAGGAGAUGUCAACAGCCUCUCUGAUCGCCAAAGUCAAGGAGGAAGCAGGCACAUGGAUCGUAGCAGGGGCAAAAGCUUUAGCGUCUUUCCUAUCUAGAGAGUAAUCAUGUAAAUUUACCCCAUUUAGGGAACUCUUCUGUUAAAACCUUCUCUAUCAAUGAAAUAGGCACCGUCUCGUGCCCGUUCGUUCGAAAAAAAAAAUAUAGUUUAAGUUGCAUGGUGAUCGACUCCAGAAGUAUCCACACACUACAAUAUUUUACUCCGCCGAGAUACAACAUCGUGAAUUCUGAGACGCCGCAACGCGUGCGUGCGUGCAUAUGCAUUUGGCAACCACGCUCUCCGUCAACGAUAGGCAGGCUGGGCUGCACUGCAUGCAGCCAACUGGUAUCCAACUAUCCAUGCACGUUUAAUUUGCAGCAUACUUCUCAAUACACAAUUUCUUUCAAAUUUAGUAAAAUUUCUCGUAUCAUUUUCAGAUCGAGAUGAUUUCUUCUUCUUCUUCUUUUGAAUGAUCCAGUUUUUUUUUCUAGGAUACAGACUAGUUGUGCAAGGUUGACAUUGAACAUACUGAUUUCUUGAUCCUCUGAUGUUCGGCUAGCAAAAUUCUCUCCAUCAUAUAUUGAUGCAAAGUUGCCCAACUUCGCAGAACUUCUGUAUUGGUACACGUCUCUCAGUGACUUAUAUAUUUUGCUCCUUAAUUAAAAAAAUAACUGAGCAGCAAUCAAGUCUACUAGUAACUGUCAUGGACCCAGCUGAUGCAGCAUUUGAUGAAUGAUGACCAAGUGGCUGGGAGCCUGGGAGUGCGUCUUCACCAUCCAAAGGCGUCAAGUCUCAAGCUAGCCAGCAAGGCGGGAGGAAGUAUUGGGCCCGAAUCGUCCUAGCUUUGGAAGCCCACGGGAGCGAAGGCCCAAUCUAAGGUGUGUUGGCCACAAAAUGGAUGGCUGAAUCAAUCACGCAAAUCUUAGCCACAAUGAAUGGCAGAUUGACACUAAAACAGAUGAUCCAAGUGACUGAGGGUUUAGAUCCUGAUAUAGCUCUAUAUAUUUAGAAGCAAUUGGAGCAGCACUCAGCGCCUACCUGCUGUUCUGAUAGAAGGGAUCUUACUACUGUUUUCUUUUGUUGUCCUAAUUAAUGGGGUUUUACCAUUAAUUUUACCAUGCAAUGUUUACUGCAAUACAUUACCUUCCAUCCUACCCAAGAAGCAAAUGCCAAAUGAUUAGUUUAAAUUUGGUGCAAUUUUGUAGGGUGUGGAGGUAACGCACCAAAUGCUGUGAAAUUUAGGCAAUUUGCGUCAACAACUGGACUUGUUACCUCUAACAUUGCCAUUACCAAUGAUAGCAUAAUUACAUUAUCAUUUUUCUCAUCAUUACAUUAUAAAGCUUUUUGACUCCACAAUAUAGCACUGGCCAGCUCAAAGAUGGUGCCGCGCCCCAGGUUUUCAACGGUUUCGGGUAACUCGGCUACAUCGCCGCCGGAGUCCACGAGCAGCGGCCCUCAGGGGAUGAUCUCCUUGCCCCCCAGGAGCUCGGAGAGGUAGUCCAUGUACUUGCGCUCGAUGUCCGCGCACGUCUUGACGGCCACGAACCUCGACGAGCGCGCCAGGCUGAGCAGCAGGCGGUCGCGCUCGGAGACCAAUGCGGGUACGUCCUCGCGCAUGGCGAACAGCUCUGUGUACUCGGCCUCCUCGUCGGCGGUGUCGAGGCCGACGGACUCGAAGGGGAACGCCCGUGACGCGUAGUCGGCGCUGCCGAGGCGCAGUGGACGAAGAAGGCCGUGGCGGCGGCGCUGCAGGUGCCGAGGUGCGCUGCGGGGACGCCGCGCGCCGCCGCGGCGCGGCCUCGAGCGGCGCGGCCCAGGGCUGGAGGAAGUCGUAGAGGAGGGAGUCCGGGCGGAGGUCGUCCUAGAAGCGCGCCGAACCGCCGCGCGGCGAGGUCGCAGGCGCUCUUGAGCGUCGGCAUUAGGCGCGGCGGGAGGUGCUUGGCGGUGUGCAGCGCGGGAGGUAGGUCGGGGAGGGGCGGGAGGUGGAGCUCCACCAGCCGGAUCCUGUCCGUCUUCCGGUGCGCGAUCGCCGCGAGGUUGAUGGGGUUGUGCGCUUCCUGCUGGGGUAGCAGGUGGGUGGCCGGCGGCAGCAGCAACCGCCGGCGAACGGGCCGGAGCAGGAGAUGCAAACCAGCGAAAAAUUUGUCAAAUUAGGAUCAAACCAGGGGGGUUAUUUGAUAAAUACAGGGGUUUAUUUGCAAAUAUUCGGAUCGCGGUCCAAAAUUAGGGGUCUAUUUGUAAAUUAUAAGGGUAUAUAUGCAAAUAUUCGGAUCACAAUCAUUAAUUGCGAUCCAAAAUGAGGAGGCAUUUUGCAAAUGAUGGCGUCCCGCGACAUGGUACACAGGAGGAGUCUGUGCUGCCGCCGGCGACCUCCGCUAGCCCCGUCGGCUGCCGCCACGCAUCCCUCAUUCAAUUCAGCGCGCCCAUACGCUGCUUCGGAUCAUCUCCCGCGCCACCGUCACCGCUCAUGGACCUGCCUCAUGAGAGAUGCUGCCGCCGUUCAAGCUCCGAGUUGAGACGAGAGACACACAUGCGGGCAUGUUCAAGGUUCACCAGUCCGCCGUAAGCUAGCUAGCUAGCAUCAAUGGCUCCGUGCUGGCCGCUCGGCUUCGGCGGGCCGGCGGAGGCCACGGGGCUCCGCUCUUGCCUCCGCUUCAUCUCUUCGGUCAGCGCCGCCGCCUCAAAGGUAUCUCCAGGGCCCUGGCCCCUGGGUAGGCCUGGGGUUCGGGUAACCCGAAAAUUCGGGUCGGGUUUUCUAAAUUUCGGAUUCUGAAAAUUGGAACCCGAGAUGUCCUCCGGAGAUUCAAAACCAGACAAUUCGGGUUCGGGUUAACCCGUACUACCUGAGAUAGCUGCAACACAGCAGAAAUCAGGCAGCAUUGCAGCAAGCCGCAGGGCAGGCCAAGUGCCCAACAACAAUAUAAUUCAGAACAUAGCACCAGGAAAAACCGCACAGCACUACAGCAGCACAUGAGUACAUGACAUGACCAAACUAACAGAUCUAAAACAUUAAAGUUCAAAGUUCUCAAGCUCACAUGUAACAGGUUCACACAAAGAUAACGUACUGAUAGUCUUGCACACUAAUACAUGAUAAAUUGAUAAUAGUUCAUAGAUUGCAAUUCAUAAAUUGCACUAGCAGCUUGCAGGUUGGCUCCAUCCAAUUCUGAUAUCUCCUCCAAAGUCCAAACCUUGAACCAGCCAGCCACCCUGCAGGCUGCAGGCGAAGAAAACACAGAGACAGAGAUGCUUAGUGUGAUAGCAAAAUCAUAUGAAUAUGAAUCAAUGACCACUUGAGCAGCUUGGCCGUACGACUGUGAUGGCUCCGUACCAUGAAUCUCCAUUGGCACAAUUGAAUUGUCAUGCAGAGUCUCAGUGUCCAUUGACUGGGCCUCAAUGCAAUCAUCAGGUUCCGGCAUCUGCAAGAUAAAGAGCACUAAUUGAAAUGCAAGAACCUGCAGAAUUGAAAUGCUAGGAGCCUAGAAGGACUACCAGAAUUUAAGAAGUACAUAAUGACAUUCCUAGUUUCCUACCCUUCUGUUAUUUUAAGAUGUACUAGUUCGAUAACAAAAUCCAUUUCACUCAAGAAUGAAAGCAGUGCUACUAGAUCAAAUAGACUAAAUGGCUAAUAUUCACAUACUGCAUCUGUACUAGCAUGAACAACAUAACAAGUAGAGAGCCGGUUCUGGGGCUUGGACGGGAUAGAUGGGGCGUUUCGCUCCCGGCUGGGACGGCAGGCGGUGUGGACGGCGGCGACAGCGGCCGCUAGCGAAUCGGCCGGAGCAGGGAACGAUCCAAACUAGGGGUUUUCUAUAAUAUUUUGGAUCCUAACCAGGGGGUAUUUGAUAAAUAUUUGGGUUUAUUUGCAUAUAUUUGGAUCGUGCCUAUUAAUCGUGAUCCAAUUUAGGGGUCUAUUUAUAAAUUAGUAGGGUCUUUUCUGCAUAUAAUCGCGAACCAAACCGGCAUUUUGAAAAUAUUCGCGCCGCGCGACAUGCACACCCGGCAAGGUCGCGCUGCCGCCGGCGAUCUACGGUAGCCCGGCGCCGCCGCUAUGCGUCCCCUGAGAUCCUGGAUCUCAUCAAGUACACGCGUCCUAGCCGCAGGCUUGAAGACCCCUCGCACGCCGCCGCCGCUCACGGUCACGUACCUUUCUCCUGGUGAGACGCCGCGGCGGCUGUGCCGGUAGGGCGAGGGGGCGCGGUGCUCGCAGGCUGCCGCGGCCCGGGCCUCCGAGUUGAUACGGAAAUGCGCACGGAAUCUGCUCCUGUUCUUUUUAGUCGGUAUAUUAAAAUUUUAUAGGUUUUUAGAGUUAUACAAAUCAAUUGCUACAAAUCAAUGUGAUAUUAAAAGAUCUUUGAAAUUCAAAUCUAUUCAUAUAACCUUUAUAUAACAAGGAUGCAUAGACCUUCAACACAUGUCGUAGUUUUGCUUUCAAGUGGCGCUCCUUUAUAAAUCACAUUGGCGUAGCCAUGAACUCUGGAAAUCAAGAAUGCUGCAAUGCCCCUAUUAUGUUGUUUCUAUCUGAAAAAGGGCUAAUCUCCUGUCCAAAUGCAUCUCACAGAGCGUUUACUAUCAAGGAAAAAAGUUGACACACAAUGAGACAAACGCAAGUGAUACUAAUAAGGUAAGCUGCAGUUGUUUCUAAGGAAUCCAAGGAUGGCUUGCCCCUCUACAGGAUACUAGCAUUUUUUCCUUUGUGUUUGCCCAGGGGCCAAGUUUCGGCUACUGUUCUUCCGGUAUCCGCAAGAACUUCAAGCAAAGAACCUAAGAGCAAAUUACUAAAUUAGUCAGGAACAUCAGAAUCUGAGAAUUACUAAUAAUACUGCCUUUACACCCCGGAAACUCGAGUUACAAUCCACUACACACAUGCUGGGAAUGAAAUCAACACGGGAUAACCACUACACUGAAAGUGGUGAAGCAGAAGCAUAGAAAAUAGAGACACAGAGUGGAAAAAAGACCCGAAGAGUAUCUUUCUAUAAGAUUAAGACUAACAUGGGAUCACCAAACGAAUUAGAGAGAAUUUGCAACUUGAUCUUGCAACACCCCCUGCUUCACUUUCCAGCACAGUCCAACCCCCUGUCAACCAACCAGGAAUCAAUCCCCCAGAUAACCUCCUCUGUGCAUUGCGUGUCAGCAUCUCGCCUUUGAGCAAGGCACGAAUAUUACUGCCUUGCAUUCGCGCACAACGCACCGGCCUGCAGCCUAUAUAUAGGGCACCAUGGUCUGCAAGACGGCAGCAAUCACUUAGCUGGAUCGCUGAGACUGACCGAGCACAAAGCCGCCGGAGAUCGAGAUCGAGCAAGCAAGCUAGCGUGCGCCGCCGACGCGACGACGAUGCCGCCGUACCGGCUGCCGCUGUACCACCGGCAGAGCCCGGUGGUCCGGUGCAUCAACUUCCUGUGCGCGGUGGUGCUGACGCUGGUCCUCAUCGCCGGCAUCAUCCUCUUCGUGCUGUGGCUGAGCCUCCGGCCGCACCGCCCCCGGUUCUACCUCGCCGACUUCUCCAUCCCGAAUGCCAACCGCCAGUCCGGCCUGGCCAACCUGCCGGUGCGCUUCGCCGUCGGCGAGCACAACCCCAACCAGAAGAUCGGCAUCUACUACGAGGAGAUCGUGGCAUCGGUGUACUACGGCGACGUGCUCGUGGCCAAGGGCCCCGUCAUGCAGCCAUUCUACCAGCCGCCCAAGGGCGACACCCCCGUGCUCGGGCAGCUCACCGCGACGGGGCCCAACCCGACGGACUCGGCGGCGUGGGGUAGGUUCUCCGGCGAGCUCUCGGCUGGGACCGUCAGGAUGCGGCUGCUGCUCACCUCCACGGUGCAGUUCCAGGUGAAGGUGUGGGACACCAAGCAUCAUCACAUGAAGGCGGAGUGCGACUUCAAGAUCAACGGGGAUGGCACGCUACAGCAGCAGGACAAGAACUCCCAGUGCGAGCUCUACUUCUAGCUAGCGCGUCUGCUAUCUCGGCUUGAGUUGGUGUGGGUCUCGCUGAUUCUUUUCCAUCAAUCUUGGUUUUCGAGGUCAUGUUGUCAUUUAUUUUGUUUGCGCGUUUGGCUGAUGUUUGGGGUUGUUGUAAUGCAAAUUAUUUGUAAACAUAAGCGUAUUCAUGUAUCAAGAAACCAUUUGUGAAUUGGACUGUUCUUCCCAACUUUAAAAAGAAGCAGAUGAAAAGGCUGUAACCAUGAUUCAAGCCAACAUUACCCAUCACGCAUCAGAAAUGUCACAACGUGCAACACAUGAACAUAGCACCCUGCAAAUUCAUACAAUUCAAUUUACUUCCUUUCUUAGAUUAUUAUUAGGUGUUCUCUAUCUGCGCCUCUUGCUUAGAAACACAUUGAAUCAAUAACCACGUGAAUUUAAACCAUGGUUCCGUCAAUCAAUUCAUAAAUAUCAACACAGCAUCUCACAAGAGCACCAUGCUUAGGUGUUAAUCACUAGCCAAUCAUCGAAUGGACAGCCAAAACACAUGCUCACAAUUCCUUUCCUGAUAAGUACAUACUAUUAAUCCUAUCAAACUAGUAACAAAUUUACAACAAAACUGAGGUGGUCACUUGACGUGUCCCAGGCUCACAUUUUUGUUUCUGGAAGCCAACCGAAUUACAAGGUAGCUGAAUGUAAAACCCUAACGAAGCGCACUUGUAUGGCUUGACGUCCCUUCAUUUCUCCUCCAGUCUCAUCAGGACAGAUUCGGCAAAUAUGCGUUGUCUGGUGAUCAGAAGCCAUUUUAGAAACUUGGAUUCAGGAAAUGGGGAAGGAGUCAGGGAGGAAGUGGAUGGGAGGAAACUCACUUCUCUUCAGUGUGUUUGGGACUAGGACGGUUGUGUUUCAGAUAGCCAUCCCACGGAACCUUUUUUAGUCCAGCUCUAGCGGCUAUCAUGUCCCUUACUCUGUGCAAAGCAUUUCAUUAUGCAAGGAAUAAUCAAUUUUAUGGUCUCUCCAAAACAAAAGGACCCUAAGUUUUUCUUGGAAAAGAAAAUGAACUAAACAAAUGGGUCACCUCUCAGCAAAUGCAAUUGCCGUCUCUCCCUCCCUCAGAUAUUGAGGAGGUAAGUACCAAACAUCACACACAACAGCCCAUGAUGUCAUCAGCCGGACCAAGUGCAUUGUAAAAGAUUGCCUGAAACAUUUCGUGAGGUAAUUAUGUUAACUAAAGAAGAAAGUCUAGAUAAACUAAAUUAAUUCAUCAUUUGUACUCCUUACUUCUUACUGUUCCAAAAGGCAUCAACAAAUAUUUUAUUGUACUUGAUAGCUAUUGGACAGACAGCGCAGCCAAGCUCAAAGGCACCCUGAGAAACAAGAUGAAAACCAUCACCACAGUAAACAACAGCAAAGAUGUAAAUUAAUGUCAUGCAACAGGUAACAAACUUCUAGUGUCUGACAUCUAAUUACUGUCAAGCGACAAUGAAAAUGUUCUAUGCUUGCAUCCUACCAGGAAGUCUGGAAUACUAGAUAUGAUAUUAAACAUAUAUAUAAUUUUUUUUAAAAUGCUGUAGUGACAUGCAAGUAUGCUAAAAAUGUAACAAUAAUUAAUAGAGCUUCAUGAACAAUAAAUCCUGAUUUUAUUCAUGGAAAACAUUAUACAACGCAAUGAUGUAACAUAUUCAAAGUCAAACUAUAUUUUGACUUAAACAGAGAUAGGGUUCACCUUCUUGAACAUGACCGUGUACUGGUUGUUAACACAAGUUCCUUCCGGAAAAAUCAAGAGAGGAUUUUUGUCUGGUUGUUGAACAUGAUCACGUAACCUGGCAAUGUAAUUUGCUGAAUAAAAUGAACUACAUAAUCAAUGGGAUUAUGAUUUGAAAGACAAAACUUACUUCCGUGCCGUAACUUCACGAUCCCGAAGAUCAUUACGAUUAAACCAGAUGCAACCGACACUUUCCAAGAUAGUCUUCUGAAUAAAUCCUGUAAAUAAUGGGAACAGUCAAAUAGAUAGAUAAUAAAGGAAAAAGUCCAAAUUACUCCCUUCAAGUAUAGUGAAAGUCCAGAUAACACCCUAAACUAUGUUUUGGUUCAAUUUACCCCCUAAACUAUGCUAUUUGGUUCAACUCACCCCAUAAUGCAAUUUGUCAUUUUUGUUUCUCCAUACACAAGUUGAAUUUAAUUUGAGACUUCGCAGGGUGGUAGUGGACAUCAUAAUCUAUAAUAAAAAAUAUUGUAUGCAUUUUUCAUCAUUAGUUUUUAUAUAAUUUUGUAUCUCAAGGAUAAAUUUUAUUAUUAAAUAUCUUACCCUAUCAAAAUAGUGAUGAAAAAUUCAUGAUAUAUUUUUUUAACAUGUGUUAUGAUGUCUGCUAUCAUCUUGCAAAAUUUGAACUUAAAACUCCACUUGUGCAUGGAGAAACAAAAAAAAAAUUGUGUUAAGGGGGAAAUUGAACGAAAUGGCAUAGUUCAGGGGGUAAAUUGAACCAAGAAAUACUUUAGGGGGUUAUCCAGACUUUGGUUAUACUUGAGGGGAGUAAUUUGGACUUUUUCCGAUAAUAAAUCUAGCAUUCGAAACUAGCAGAGAAGUUUCGGAAGAACCAGAGACUCAC